RNAcentral lists this ribosomal RNA (542 nucleotides) under uncultured archaeon. RNAcentral's name for it is "bacterial SSU rRNA". It matches the Rfam family "Archaeal small subunit ribosomal RNA", at positions 459 to 999 of the family's 1478-position model. The record is from RNAcentral.
CAGCCGCCGCGGUAAUACUCGCGGUCCAAGUCGCAGCCAUUUUUAUUGGGUCUAAAACAUCCGUAGCUUGCUUUGUAAGUUCUUUGUGAAAUCUCAUCUCUCAAGGGUGGGGAGGGCAAAGAGUACUGCAAUGGCUAGAGAUUGGAAGACGUAAGAAGUAUGUUCGAAGUAGCGGUAAAAUGUGUUAAUCUCGAACAGACUAACAAGAGCGAAGGCAUCUUACGAGGACAGUUCUGACAGUAAGGGAUGAAGGCUAGGGUCGCGAAAGGGAUUAGAUACCCCUGUAGUCCUAGCAGUAAACGCUGUACACUAAACAUUAGUACCUCCUCGAGAGGUAUUAGUGCUGUAGGGAAGCCGAAGAGUGUACUACCUGGGAAGUAUAGCCGCAAGGCCGAAACUUAAAGGAAUUGGCGGGGAGACACUACAACAGGUGACGCGUGCGGUUCAAUUAGAUUCUACACCGUGAACCUCACCAGGAGCGACAGCAGGAUGAAGGUCAGUCUAAAGGGCUUACCUGACACGCUGAGAGGUGGUGCAUGGCC